This 929-nucleotide long non-coding RNA is filed under the name Lepisosteus oculatus (spotted gar). RNAcentral describes it as "lncRNA (ENSLOCG00000021022.1)". The record is from RNAcentral. Lineage: Eukaryota; Metazoa; Chordata; Actinopteri; Semionotiformes; Lepisosteidae.
UUUCUUCUACAUUUGUCUGAAUUUGUUUCUACUUGGGACUUCUCAUGCAUAUAUUACUGUUAUAUUUUCAACAGUGCCAUGGACUGAUUUUUUAUUUUUUUAGGAGUGUAAUUUCAAUUCAUCCUUUCACAAUCUGUGUUAUGAAAAACUAAAUAUGUUCUUCACCCUCUCCUUUUAUAUGUAUGCAAUGAAGAAACAAUUCUUUAAUUGUUAAGUCUGUGUUGUGUUAUAAUAAUUGACAGAGAUUCCUGAGGAAACUAUACUCCUGGUUGAAAGAAAAGAAAAGGAGAAAUGGAGACAUAAGGGGCAUAAGGAGUGUGAGAGAAGAAUAAAAGAGCUUGAACAACAGAAUAAAGAGCUGUGUGAUGAGAACAUGAGGAGAAUAGCAGAGCUUGAACAACAGAAUAAAGAGCUGCAUGAUGAGAACAAGAUUCCUGAAGAAAGUAUAAACGCGGAUAAAAGAAAAAAAAAGAAGAAAUGGAGACACAAGUGGCAUAAGGAGUGUGGUAAGUAGUGAAAUAUUUUAUAGUAGGAUUUCCCAGAGAGUAUUUUCCAGUCAUUAUAUUUUAAAAGAAGAAUGUACUGUUUGACUUCUGACAUGAUCCUCACCUUAGUUAGUUACUCUACCCAGAAUAUUUUACUGUUGAGUCUCAAUUACUCAUUUGGAUUGAUUGUUUCAAAAUCUUUAAAGGAAUCUGAAUAUCUGGGCUGAACUCCUGCACAAUCUCUUUUGUGAAACACUAAAGGGAUUUAGUUCCUUUCACUUGUGUAAAUAUUAACACCCUUCCCUUACAUCAGAGGUUAUUACUGUGUGAAAAUUUAUAUGUAUUUGUAGAGAACAGAUCUAGAACAACAGAUUGAAGAGGUGUGUGAUGAGUAACAUUAGUACUGUUCUGUGUGUAGUAUCAUCAAGUGUGGUUUUAAAGUCA